UUCGCCCUUAGAGUUUGAUUCUCGCUCAAGAUGAACGCUGGCGGCGUGCUUAACACAUGCAAGUCGAACGAAGCACAUAAGGACGAGUCUUCGGAUGAAGCCGUAUGUGACUGAGUGGCGGACGGGUGAGUAACGCGUGGGUAACCUGCCUCACACAGGGGGAUAACAGUUGGAAACGACCGCUAAUACCGCAUAACCCGCUAGGGGCGCAUGCUCCGGACGGAAAAGAUUAAUCGGUGUGAGAUGGACCCGCGUCUGAUUAGCCAGUUGGCAGGGUAACGGCCUACCAAAGCGACGAUCAGUAGCCGGCCUGAGAGGGUGAACGGCCACAUUGGGACUGAGACACGGCCCAAACUCCUACGGGAGGCAGCAGUGGGGAAUAUUGCACAAUGGGGGGAACCCUGAUGCAGCGACGCCGCGUGAGUGAAGAAGUAUUUCGGUAUGUAAAGCUCUAUCAGCAGGGAAGAAAAUGACGGUACCUGACUAAGAAGCCCCGGCUAACUACGUGCCAGCAGCCGCGGUAAUACGUAGGGGGCAAGCGUUAUCCGGAUUUACUGGGUGUAAAGGGAGCGUAGACGGCGAUGCAAGUCAGAAGUGAAAGCCCGCGGCUCAACUGCGGGACUGCUUUUGAAACUGUAUAGCUUGAGUG
This 649-nucleotide ribosomal RNA is filed under the name uncultured bacterium. RNAcentral describes it as "bacterial SSU rRNA". It matches the Rfam family "Bacterial small subunit ribosomal RNA", at positions 1 to 648 of the family's 1533-position model. The record is from RNAcentral.